This 611-nucleotide long non-coding RNA is filed under the name Eptatretus burgeri (inshore hagfish). RNAcentral's name for it is "lncRNA (ENSEBUG00000017155.1)". The record is from RNAcentral. Lineage: Eukaryota; Metazoa; Chordata; Myxini; Myxiniformes; Myxinidae.
UCGAUUUUCUCUAAUGAAUUUUAGCCGCGUCGCGUUGCGAACGCUGGCUCAAAGAGAGCUCCGCGUUGUUCUCCUUCCAGUUCUUCUUCUUCUUCUUCUUCUUCUUCUUCUUCUUCUUCUUCUUCCUCUUCCUCGUAUUCUUCUUCUUCUUCUUCAUGUGAAGACAAAACCUUUCGGACGCGGCUCUUGGACACAUUUGUCCUUGUUUAUCAAUACGUCCCCAUUUUGAGGGAUUGUACUUUGGAGAUCGUUACCGACUUGACAGGUUUGACCACAGAGACAAAACCUCGACAAUGGAAAGCUCCCAGCUGAUGAUCCAGAUUUCCAUUGAAUCAAGCAAUCAGCAAGCUGAAUCAAUUCUUCAUACCUCUCUGGAAGCAAUUUCCUAUGUUGGUCUUAAUUCCAAACCGAUCGUCAUGAAACUUUACCAAGUUGUAGAGGUAGUGUCAACUGAGAAGCCUAUUGAUUUUGAGGUCAAAGAGGGAAGGCUUGUGGAACAGCAAGAACACAGAAUGGAUCAGGACACAACAGAACAAAAGGAACAGCAGAAAGAGAAGGAAAACACCGACAGCGGAGUUGAAAGACAUGAGGAUGGUCUGAGAUGUUGGUGA